This 331-nucleotide ribosomal RNA is filed under the name uncultured eukaryote. RNAcentral describes it as "partial 18S ribosomal RNA". It matches the Rfam family "Eukaryotic small subunit ribosomal RNA", at positions 1470 to 1796 of the family's 1831-position model. The record is from RNAcentral.
CCCUUAGAUGUUCUGGGCCGCACGCGCGCUACACUGACGAAGUCAGCGAGCAUGUCCUACGCCGACAGGUGCGGGGAAUCUUGUCAAACUUCGUCGUGAUGGGGAUUGAUUUUUGAAAUUCUUGAUCAUAAACGAGGAAUUCCUAGUAAGCGCAAGUCAACAGCUUGCGUUGAUUACGUCCCUGCCCUUUGUACACACCGCCCGUCGCUACUACCGAUUGAAUGGUUUAGUGAGAUCUUCGGAUUGGCGCCACUGCAGCUCAGCAAUGGGCUUGGUGGAUGCCGAAAAGUUGAUCAAACUUGAUCAUUUAGAGGAAGUAAAAGUCGUAACA